Molecule: long non-coding RNA, 2113 nt
Filed under: Mytilus galloprovincialis (Mediterranean mussel)
Lineage: Eukaryota; Metazoa; Mollusca; Bivalvia; Mytilida; Mytilidae
Source: RNAcentral
AAACAGAAGAAAUUAUCAACAAAAAUAGAUUUACAAAGGUCAACAAAGCCUAAAUGGUAAGUCCACUGUUAAAAAAAAGUUUUAGCCCUUGAGUAAUGAUUAAAUAUUUAUUAAAAUAAGAUGUGGUACGAUAAAUGAGAAAACUAUCCAUCAGAGUUCAAUUAAGUGGAUGUAACCAUUGUAAUUACUUAUUAGAGGCCAAUGAUGACCUGUUAGUAAUUAAAAAAACUCAUACCCUAUACAUGAUAUAGUAAUCUAUAAAAGACAACGCUAACAAAAUUUGAAAUGAAAGCAUCAAUUCAAACUUCAAAUAUACCAGACUAAUUUAUAAAAAAACAAAAUAUUAUGAAAAACAAAAAUGACGGAUAUGAACCAACAUCAACCACUGAACUAUGUACAAGCUCCUGAUAUUGGACAGGCAUAAUAUGGCUGGGUUGAUAUAAAAAUAAGAAGCAGUCUGAUUUCAAAUAAGACUUUUCUCCAAUAGAGAUCAAAAUGACAUUUAACAAUGUUUAAGGAGGCUCGAGGGUAUAAAAUUUCAGAAAAAUAUUAAAUAUUUUUUUUUUCAUAACUAAUUUUAUUUAUAACUUUAUUAGUUUUUACUUUAUCAUAUGGUACAGAAAUCAUUCUAAAAAAUCAAUUCGUUUUGGCCCCAGACAACUUUUAAAAUGUAUAUAUCAUUGAAAAAGCUCCAAAUUAUCUCCCUUUGGUGCAGAAAUGCCAUUUUUUGGCAUGAGAAUUGUAAUAUCUUUUUUAGCUCAUCAGUGACCUAUAUUUUUUAUUAUCAUUUUUCAACUAACUUUACUUAAACUAAACUAUUGUAAAAUUUAAGCGAUUUCUGUAAUUAAGUUCUUUUUUCAUUUCAAAAUUACCUCUAUUUCUCCUAUUAGUUCAACAGAAAAAAAAGUACCUUUACAAAAAUGUAUAUAUGCUUCUUUCAAAGGCGGAUUGUGAGUGUGAAUGAAUGGUGUCCCCAUUUUUUUAAUUUAAUUUUUCUAUUUUUCUAUAAAGUAUAAGAUAAAGUUCAUUUAUAGAAAAAUAUAGCGUAACCCUAUAUUAAGAAAAAAAAAUUGAUUGAAACCUGCGAGCCCCCUUAAUUUAACAAAAAUAGUUCACUGUACAGCCUUUGACAAUGAGCAAAACGCUAUACCGGACAGUGGUUUUUAAUAACAGCACAACAUUUGAACAAAUUGUAAAAAUUUGUUGCAAUGGGCUUAACUCAAAAGACUGCAACAAGGAACCAAACAAUAACCAGUAAUAUGUAAAUCAUAGACACAAAGCACUGAAAUAAGAGUACUAACAAUAGAUAUUUAAAUGAAAGUUUAUUAAAAUGUUCAUAAACAUGAUAAAAUAGUCCAUUUUAUUGCUGUAUUUCUCUUCACUGAUAAUUUUUGAGUUUUGUGUAUUUGUAGGUCAGACAUCUCGGUUUUCAUGGUCAUCAUUCAACAGAUCAAUACUGAACAGAAAACUUGGAAGAUGAUAUUUUUCUCAACAGUGCGACUUUUUUUAUUAAUUUGAAAUGGAAUGUUUUUUUCCUACAUUUAAUAGAAAAAGGAAAUUUCAACAUAAUGACUAUAAACAAAAAGGAGUCAUAUCAUCACGAUCAUAGAUGCUCAAGAACUUGAUCAUGUAAAUGCAACAAUGUAAUUAUCAAUUGAAAGAAGGAACGAAUGAAAAAAAUAUUAGUAUGUUGUUGUCCAAAUAAACCUGCUUUGUCUUCUCAUUUGAAUCGCUCCAUCCAAUAAAGAUGUACCGAGGAGGAUCUUUGAAGAACAGAUUGAAAAAUGUUUUGUCUAAGAAUUGCAGGAAUAUUCUAGUGGAUGAAAUAAUUUAUUGACUUGACUCUUAUAUAGUGGACUGAAUAAUUGUACAUAGCAAGCAGCGAAAAAGAAAACUAAAACUUUAACACAAAAAGUGUUUAAAUUAUAAAUUUGCAAAUAUAAGCAUAAUAUUAUGUACACCACAAAGGUAUAUAAUUCAAAUUGUUUGCAUAUUCAUGUAUUGCAAUGAAACUAUAACAAAGAAAACCUUACUUCAUGAAAAGAGUAAACUAUUCAGUCAGAAUAUGAAAUAUUUUUUUCAGUUCUAUUUUUCAUUAUAAAAUAAACAAGAC